This 376-nucleotide RNase P RNA is filed under the name Bacteroidota bacterium. RNAcentral describes it as "Bacteroidetes bacterium (activated sludge metagenome) RNase P RNA component class A". It matches the Rfam family "Bacterial RNase P class A". From Rfam's summary of the family: Ribonuclease P (RNase P) is a ubiquitous endoribonuclease, found in archaea, bacteria and eukarya as well as chloroplasts and mitochondria. The record is from RNAcentral. RNAcentral also lists the same sequence under 1 other name. Lineage: Bacteria; Pseudomonadati; Bacteroidota.
CCUGCGCACCGCUCCAUCGCUGCUCUUCGCAAGGAGGGGGGAGGAAAGUCCGGGCAGCACAGGGCACCGUGCUUCCUAACGGGAAGGGGCAAGGCUGGCGACGGCCGUGCCACGGAAAGUGCCACAGAAAGGGAAACUGCCCCGGCUUGCCGGGGUAACGGUGAAAACGCGGGGUAAGAGCCCGCGCUUGGCGUCAGUGAUGAGGCCAUUUCGGUAAACCCCACGGGCUGAAAGAUCAAAUAGGCCGGCAACAGGGCGGCCCGUCCUGCCGGCGGGUAGAUCGAUCGAGGUGUUCCGCGAGGGGCAUCCUGGAUAAAUGAUGGAGCCUUCAUCGCGAGGUGGAGGACAGAACCCGGCUUACAGGUGCGCAGGUACU